GAAAGAACUAACAAGGAUUCCCUCAGUAACGGCGAGUGAAGCGGGAAGAGCCCAGCACCGAAUCCCCCGGCCGUGUGGUCGACGGGACCUGUGGUGUUUGGGAGUGUCUUUGGUGCGUUGGCGCGGCGUCCGAGUCCUCCUGAUCGGGGCUUGUCCCAGAGCGGGUGUAAGGCCUCUACGGCGCUAAGCUGCGUGUCUCUGGCGCUCUCUGGAGUCGGGUUGUUUGAGAAUGCAGCCCAAAGUGGGUGGUAAACUCCAUCUAAGGCUAAAUACAGGCACAAGUCCGAUAGCGAACAAGUACGGUGACGGAAAGUUGAAAAGCACUUUGAAGAGAGAGUUGGAAAGUACGUGAAACCGUUUACAGGUAAACGGAUGGGACCGCAAUGUCGGCGGCGGGGAUUCAGGCCUCUGGCUGCUCGUUCGGUGUGCGUUCGGCGAUGCUGUAGUGGCACGUCGGCGUGCCUUUGUAGCGGCGGCUGGGGGACGCACUUUCCCGUUUGUCGAGCGCCACGACCGCCUGACUGGCAGACAGAAGCCCUCGGUCAUAGGUAGCCUGUGCGCCCCCCUCGCGGGGUGUGCGUGCGGGAACUUAUAGGGCCGGGGUGAGUUUACUGUCCUGCUGGGUGGGCGAGGAACUCGGGCCGCGUCGAGCGGACGCUGAGCACACCGUGCAUUGUGCGACUGUCGAGGACUGCUUGCAGUGCUUGGCGACUGCUGUGUUCGGGUUGGUGUUUGCGUUCAGCCGGCGCCGAAGGGUCAGUGGCGUACGGUCGGCACCCCAUCCGACCCGUCUUGAAACACGGACCAAGGAGUCUAACAUGUGCGCAAGUCAAAGGGUCGUACGAAACCCCAGGGCGAAAUGAAAGUGAACGUAGGUGUGAUCCGGGUGCNUUGCCGCUCGGCGCAACACCGGUCCCGUCUCGCGGUCUU
RNAcentral lists this ribosomal RNA (930 nucleotides) under Amplicaria spiculosa. RNAcentral's name for it is "eukaryotic LSU rRNA". It matches the Rfam family "Eukaryotic large subunit ribosomal RNA", at positions 56 to 780 of the family's 3401-position model. Lineage: Eukaryota; Metazoa; Annelida; Polychaeta; Sabellida; Serpulidae. The record is from RNAcentral.